RNAcentral lists this ribosomal RNA (432 nucleotides) under uncultured bacterium. RNAcentral's name for it is "partial 16S ribosomal RNA". It matches the Rfam family "Bacterial small subunit ribosomal RNA", at positions 29 to 506 of the family's 1533-position model. The record is from RNAcentral.
AACGAACGCUGGCGGCAUGCCUAACACAUGCAAGUCGAACGAGACCUUCGGGUCUAGUGGCGCACGGGUGCGUAACGCGUGGGAACCUGCCCUUAGGUUCGGAAUAACUCCCCGAAAGGGGUGCUAAUACCGGAUAAUGUCUUCGGACCAAAGAUUUAUCGCCUUUGGAUGGGCCCGCGUUGGACUAGCUAGUUGGUAGGGUAAAAGCCUACCAAGGCGACGAUCCAUAGCUGGUCUGAGAGGAUGAUCAGCCACACUGGGACUGAGACACGGCCCAGACUCCUACGGGAGGCAGCAGUGGGGAAUAUUGGACAAUGGGCGAAAGCCUGAUCCAGCAAUGCCGCGUGAGUGAUGAAGGCCUUAGGGUUGUAAAGCUCUUUUACCCGGGAUGAUAAGGACAGUACCGGGAGAAUAAGCUCCGGCUAACUCCGU